Xiphophorus couchianus (Monterrey platyfish) is the source of this 4389-nucleotide RNA transcript. It is a transcript of the gene named stum, mechanosensory transduction mediator homolog, with no coding region annotated. The transcript is spliced from 5 exons. Lineage: Eukaryota; Metazoa; Chordata; Actinopteri; Cyprinodontiformes; Poeciliidae. The record is from RefSeq and is a predicted model, not a curated record.
UGUAGUAAAAUAAGCAGAGCUGUAUUCAUGGUUUCCUCUCCGUAAGAGAAGUGCAUUUAGAUAAGACAAAAGGAUUUUACAGAAAGAAAGAAACAGAAAGAAAGAAGCAAAGGAAGAAAAACGAAGGAAAGAAAAGAGAGGGAGAGAGAAAGAGGCUAUACACAUUUAGCAGGACUUUUCUAAAAGCAUUCCAACAAUCUGAGGAGGAGUUAUCUCAGAUCAGCAUCUUGCAAGAUGUUUUACAAGGACUCAGCUCACUGACCUCUGAUGAAGAGAUGGCUUAACAUGGAAUAUUUUUGCUGUUUUAGAGCAAAAUUCUUUCUUCCUUUAAGACAGUUUUUUUCCUGAUUGAAAUAAUUUUAAAGUCACUUUUCAAAGAGAUUUCAGCACCUCCUUUGCAGGAUAUGUGAAUUUCAAAGAUAUUUCUUUAAUCCUGAAAAUCUUUAAGGCAAAGUGCUGAAUGUUUUUAAAGUUCACUGGAUGUAAACAAACCUCAGAAAAGCAUUAACCCUUUACUUUAAAUUAUAAAUGCUUUUGGGCAACUAAUUUAUCCUUUAAUUUAUUAAGCUUUGAAAAGACAGCUGUUCACGCUAGCUGUUGAAUUUGAAGUUGAUCCUGUGUAAAUUGAACUUCUGGUCAAUGAACAGUUUUUAGGCUUCAGCUGAAUUUUCCCACAGAUUUGACAAGCUGCUGUUGUACAGUUUGCACAUAUAUUUACCAUUUUAGCAUCUGGGUGGAAGAGAGAAAAAGAAGGAAAGACAGAUGACUCAGAAAGAAGGAGGAACAGAGCAGGGGCGCCUUAAAACUGAGGACAGCCUAGGGACCAAAACCAUGGCUGGGGCCCCCAUGGCUGGUGGAGGAGUGGUGGUGGAGGUUCGGGAGAAGAAGGGAACUCUCCGGGCUGCAAUACCCACAAUGCCUUUCCCCGUGGCUGUCAUUUGUCUUUUCCUAAACACCUUCAUACCUGGGCUUGGAACCUUCGUCUCAGCGUUCACCGUGCUGUGCGGCGCACGCAGCGAGCUGAUCUCAGAGAGAGGCGUGUGCUGCGUGUUCUGGCUCAACGUGGCAGCUGCCCUCAUCCAGAUCCUGACAGCCGUCAUAAUGGUUGGAUGGAUCAUGAGCAUCUUCUGGGGAAUGGACAUGGUCAUCCUGGCGAGAGUGACGCCUGAACUGGCUCCAGCACAGAGAAAGAGUCUCUAUCCCCCCCAGUGAGCCGAGGCAGCCUUUGAAUUAGUGCAGAACUGCCUCCUUUGUGAACAUGUUUUCUGACGGCUGUAGAGACCAAGGUAUCCCUCAAGAUGUUUGAGAUAUGUCUCUCUCACAUUCACUGACGGAUCGUAUGAAGCUGGCCCAACAAAACCACGAUGAAGGAAAACUUUUAACGACUUUUAACUUGAUAUUGAGUUGACAACAGCGUAUGGCAGCGACGUGUAAAAAAAAUGAAUGGAUAUGAAUUGACUGAGGCUGGCUGCUGAUUUGGUCGACACCAGACUGCAUUUGUGUUUAUAUUUAAAAAGAAUUUGGACAUUUAAAAAAAAAAAGAUCAUUGUGUUUUAUCUAAGUGAGAAAUGUUUUUCUUGGCUUUUGUUUUUGUCAAAAAGGAAUAACUGCUAGUGCUUCAGCAUUAGCUUGAAAAAAUUGCGAAAAUCCAGUGAAAUUGUAAAUCCAACAACAACAAAACAUUACUUCAUAUGAUCAUACGCUGUUUGUGAAAUUUGACAGGAGGCCAAAUUGUUGUUUCCACUGCUCAACUGGAAGCUGAGCAGCUAUGUGCUACAUUAUCUUUGGUUUCUCUUACGAGGUUUACUCUCCGCUUGUAGAGCUUUAGAUUAGCACAGGCUAGGGCAUUAGCAUCUUCUACAUGUACAUUUUGCAAUAUUUUUAACCUCCCCAUUAAAUUUCACCACUGCUUAAAAAUCUCUUAGUGCUUUUAUUGUUAUCAUGAUUAAAAGAAACAAGCCAUUCAGUGGCAAACUAACAGCCAGUGCUAACUUUGUUAGCACAAGCUAAUGCUAGCACUUCACAGAAAGUGCUAGCAUGGAUUCAGUGCAUUACCAAACAAACACAUCUUUCUCAAAUGUGUUUUUUUAAAUUUAAAACUAUACUCUUUUUUAUUUUAUUUUAAUAAAUUCAUUACAAAAAUGUUUGCUAAGCUGACCUUGGUAGUUCAAAUAUGCUUGUUUAAGUUUUCUUUCCAAAAGGAUUCAUCUUUCCUCAUUAUUUGAUUUGAAUUUUCACACAUCCUAAAUGUGUAAAUCUGUGCCAAUGGGAUUUUACACAUUAUUCAAGCUUCAAAUCUAAUUAGCAAGUCUUAAAAUAGCAGCUCAUUGCGCUUGACGAGGCCACAACCCCGUCUGUCACUUUAAAGAAAAGACUAAGCCUGAGAGAUUGUGGUUGGUUACAGGUCUGCACUGUCAUAAAUACAACACUCCCAAUGUUGGAGACUGAAGGUGGAACGGUAACCACCAAAGGAAUCUGAGAGGGCAUUGGGUUAAAAGUGAGAAAAGUCUAUAAACUAUUCUCAAUCAUCCACCAGAAGGUUCCCUUGGAAUCGUUGCUCUGAACAAGAGCUUUCUCAUGGUCGCCAGAUAGUGGCCUGCGUUGUUGGCUUGUUUCCAGGAACUUUAUCAGAGGUCAAAGAGCAUUCUGAAACCAAAUAGCUUCACCAAACUUGAGCAGUAAAAACUCCAGGGUCCGGAGCCAGAUCAGGGUCAAAAGCUAAUAACGUCUGGAUCUGCCUCAUAUUCAUACUGUCUUGCUUAUUAUUUUUGAGUAAGUGAGCCACUGGGUCACUGUGGCUUGACUGCGAUCAAAAGGAAUGCAACAAAUCAAAACCUCUGUGAGCUUGUUUGCUAAAAAUGUUUUAAAAGUACAUAAAGUGUGCUCAGAGAAGGUCAAGCAUGAGCUGACUCGAGCCAAGUGAAAGUUUGGGUUUUGAGUUUACUUAGCAAAUUUAUUCUAGAUAAUAGCCUGUUUUUCUUUUUAAAUCUAUACACAAGCUGAGAAUAAUGUGAUGCACCGUGGACACAGAUUAUCACAGUUUGCUGCUUUCCAACUCAUAGGAUCUGAUGAAGUUGUAACUACUCCAAUUAACACAUAGUAACAGUGUGAAUGUAUUGAAAUUUGCUAGUGUUUUAUUCAAAAUAUAUUUGUAUACUGAACUCAGAGUUCCUUCAUUUGGUCAAAGCAUAGUGUAAUUUUAAAACUGGCUAAUAAUCCUGGCAUUAACAGAUAUUGCUACAUAGUAUGUUAAGUAGUGGGGUAUUAUGCAGGACAGACAAAACGGCUAUAAAACAUAAUGAUUAAAUUAGUAAUUGUGUCAGCUGCAUCAAACCUAAUGUGAAUAUUUCAGGUUUAGUUCCUGUACAUUUUAUGUGCUGUCUGCAUUUUUAACCAAAUGCCUUUUCAAUUAUACUGCCGUGUUUUGUAUAUAAAACAAAACAAAACCGUGUUUUUAUGUCUUUUUAUGUUGUACAGUGUUUUUAUGCAAGAAAAUGAUAAUGACAAUAACGAUGAAUGAUGUCUGUGAAGGUGAUAUUAUUCUAUGCCUUACAAUUGAUCCAUGUUCUCUUAAGUGAGUGUUACUGACGUGUCUUCAUUUUAUUUAGAUUUAGAAGCAGUUUAAGCAUCCAGAUCAAACAUAACACUGUAAGUAUAUAUUUAGUAACUUCUGGUAUGUGUCAUGGGAGUUCUUGUAUUGUUGUUUAAUAUUGAUGUGCUAGAGUUUUUGGCCAUGUAGUGCUGUGAAAAAGUAUUUGGCUCCCUCUAUCUUUGCUUUUCGGUUACGUUUAAAUAUUUUAGAUGAGCAAAUUUUCUAUUUUUUUUUUUUUUUGUCAGACAAAGCUAACCUGAGUAAUUACAAAAUCUUGUUUUUAAAUUAUUAUUUUGUGUUUCAAUGGAAGAAAGCUACACAAAACAAGCUGUUGGAUUGGACAGCUUUGGUCACUUGGCUCCAUAGAAUAUUUUCUUUAUGAGUGGACUUUUUUUUUUUUUGCCAUCAAAUGAAUGCAUAUAAUGAUGUGUGCUUGCAAAUACAAAUGGAGAUUUCAGAACUUUAAGUCAGAGUUUCAGCUUAUUUCUGUGGCACUAGGAUAAACAUAAGCAGCUUGAGGAAUCAUGCAAUAAAUAGUCACCCUAAUAUUGAACUUUCGUCAUUUGCAGCUCAGUGUGUGUGGACAUUAAUUACUGAAUUAUGCAUGUUUUUUUUUUCUAUUGAAAUCACAAAUGUAUUUGUUUUUCCUGCUCGUAAAUUCAACCGCGGUGGGGACGAGAGCGUUUCUGUUUUUCCUGCAGCAACCAUGUGGUCAGCCUUAGCUUCAUUUGUAUGUCCAGUUUUUUAUGAUUGCAAAUAAAGUGUGAGUUUAUCUCCGACUCAUGAAUAAACCUACA